Dipodomys ordii (Ord's kangaroo rat) is the source of this 64-nucleotide non-coding RNA. Lineage: Eukaryota; Metazoa; Chordata; Mammalia; Rodentia; Heteromyidae. The record is from Rfam.
GGUGGCUCAGUGGUAGAGCGCUUGCCUGCAUGCAUGAGACCCUGGGUUCGAUUCCUCAGCACCA